AGCUUAAUCAAAAGAAAAAAAAAAAAAAAAAAAAAUGCUUUUUGCAUGCAACCUGCUAAUAGUUUAUGAGUUGAACAUUUAAAAUGCUAUGUAUAUAUGUACAAAUACAUACAUAUGUGGGUUUAUAAACAACAACACGCUUUGUACUAACCCUUCGACACAUCUAUUUGCAGAUACAGAAUAUGACCAUUAUGGUUUUGAGAAGAGUAAAGAGUACCCGACUAAAUCGACUAUCGAUAAGAAAACCCUAGAAAAACAUAAGAAAAAAAUCGAAAAAAGAUGGCAACUAUAUUUUACUUUUAAAAGAGAUAUCAAAAAAAGUUAUUAUUUAAAAAAAUUAAUUAGAAAGGGAAUACCAGAUAAACUAAGACCUGAUAUAUGGCCGUAUCUAUUAGAUAGUAUGGUGUUGUAUUUAAAAUACCCAACUAUAUAUGAAAAGUGUUUAAAUAGCGAACUAGUACCGAGGGUUUUAAGUCAAAUUGAGUUGGAUAUAAUUCGAACCUUUCCGCAUAAUAAAAACUAUCGCAAUAAUUCACCUGGAUUAACUCAAUUAAAGAAUGUUCUUCAUGCAUUUGCAGUAUAUAAGCCAAAGAUCAAUU
Molecule: long non-coding RNA, 599 nt
Filed under: Piliocolobus tephrosceles (Ugandan red Colobus)
Lineage: Eukaryota; Metazoa; Chordata; Mammalia; Primates; Cercopithecidae
Description: lncRNA (ENSPTEG00000003667.1)
Source: RNAcentral